GUCAUGUGACAAAUAAACUAAACAUGGCCGCUGUAUACAAAUAUGUGAGAUGACGGAUACAGAAAUCUCUUUUUUAUUGUUUAAAUUCAAAAGUGGUAAUACCAAAAAAUGGACGGAAAUAACUAAACAAACAUAUUUUUAGUCGGAAGCGUGUUUUUAACAGAAUCGCGUUGUGUUCUUUUGGAUAGGAGGCGUAGUAAAGUUGAUCAUUUUGCAAACGGUUACGAAGUACUGUAUUGCCACUCUAUUUUGAUUGUGUCUUUAAACAAAUACUGAAAUAUGGCUGAUGAACAUGAUAUCAUCGGGAGUGCUUCGGAAUUCAUAAAGGAUCGUUUAUACUUUGCUACGCUGCGGAGUAGACCAAGAUCUUCUGCACACACACAUUACUUCUGCGUUGAUGAAGAACUAGUCUAUGAAAAUUUCUAUGCUGACUUUGGACCCCUGAAUUUGUCCAUGUUGUACAGAUAUUGCUGUAAAUUAAAUAAAAAGCUUAAGUCAUUUUCACUAGCAAAGAAGAGAAUAGUCCAUUACACAAGUUUCGAUGCCCGGAAACGUGCAAAUGCUGCCUUUCUUAUCGCCAGUUAUGCAAUUAUCUACCUGAAGAAGACUCCAGAGGAAGCCUACAGACCGCUUGUGGCCGGAUCAAACCCUCCAUUCCUGCCUUUUAGGGAUGCUUCUUUUGGUGCUUGUACCUAUAACCUCACAUUGUUAGACUGUUUGCAUGGCUUAAAUAAGGGGUUAGCAAAUGGCUUUUUUAAUUUUGACUCAUUCGAUGUAGAUGAAUAUGAACAUUACGAGAAAGUAGAGAAUGGGGACUUCAACUGGAUAGUGCCAAACAAAUUCCUAGCAUUCUGUGGACCACACCCCAAAACAAAGAUUGAAAAUGGGUACCCAUUGCACGCACCAGAGGCGUAUUUUCCGUACUUCAGAAAACACAAUGUCACAUCCAUCGUGCGGCUGAACAAGAAAAUCUACGACGCCCGCCGGUUCACAGAUGCUGGCUUUGACCAUUUUGAUCUCUUCUUUAUCGACGGCAGCGUCCCCAGUGACACAAUUGUCAGGCAAUUCCUAGAACUGGCCGAGAAUGCUGAGGGGGGAAUUGCUGUGCAUUGUAAAGCUGGGUUGGGUCGUACAGGGACUUUGAUAGCAUGCUACAUGAUGAAGCACUACAAGUUCACAGCAGCAGAGUGUAUCGCGUGGUGCCGAAUAAGUCGGCCUGGGUCUAUAAUUGGGCCGCAGCAGAACUUCCUUGAGGAGAAACAGGCCUGGAUGUGGAUGCAGGGCGACCUUCAUAGGGCAAAGGUCAAGGAGAGUGAUCGUAAGCGUGAGCGUCACCACAGCGUGUCCAAGCUGCUUUCUGGCGUAGACGACAUGCGGAUACAGGACGCCCUGGAUGCAGAAUACGGCAAUGCCUGGAGCAAUGAGGAUGAUCGGAUCUACACAGGUCCCGUCACGCGGGGAACCAGGAUUGAGACCCAGGGGGACAAAUUGAACCAGCUCAAGUUGUUACGAGGCAAACACACACGAUCGGCCACCACUGGGGCGCUUGGGUCAGACGAUCAUAAAAGCCACAAACGUUCUACCACCCAGCCGCUCCGACACUCCUCAAAAAGUGCCCAUGGGUCCGUUAUGUCCCCCUUGAAAGCCAGUAAAGUUAGUUCAGUGCCCAACAACCACACCAACGUAGGCUCAGUGAAGCGCAGUACGAGGCACCCCGGGACCUCACCUAGCGCCAAGAGAAAGCAUACACACAAUUAUAGUUUGAGGAACACGAAAGGUGUCGCCCCUAGGAUGGACAGACUGAUUACAAAUUUUGUUGGAAACCCUCCUCCACUAUUCUUAUUUGAGCCACAAAGAUCUCACGUACGGCCUGCGGUCAGGCUACUCGUCCAUGGAUUACAAAACGUCGGCCUCUCUCUAUGACUCCCAUGAUUAUUCUACGGGCACAUGGCCGUACAAAUAUCAGUCGUAUGUGACCACAUCUAGCAUAUGAGCGGUCCAAUUUGCUGAAUACUGGGGAACCAGCUCAGGGGUCGGGGCCACAUACCCGCAGUACUAAGGCUUCAUUGAUCCGAUGACCUUCACCCUGACCAACCCUGUGUGUUACAGCCUUAAAUGCUGUGUUGUAUUGAAAACAUUUUACACUGUGAUGUGAUCGUAGGCUUUAUCUAUGCACACACUUCAGGAAAUGAAAAACUUCACUUGCGUUUUCUUUUCUUUUUUAAGUUUUCAUUUUACAAUAAAAUCAUGUUUUAAUUAAUCAAAUUCAUGUUUCUUUUUUUUUGUUUUAAUUCACUUUUCAUAUUAACCCAAUGAUCUUAAUGUAAAAUGAAAUAUAGAAAAACAAUUACGAUGAGAUGUUAUUUAUUGAUUUUAUUGGAAUGUUUUCUUUAAAGAAUUAAUUACAGAUUUCUUCAUAUGGCAAGUUAAAAAUGUUAAAGUAAAUGAAGUCUAUCAACAGAAAUAUUUUAUAUUGCUUCAAAAUCAAGUUCAAUCUUUUACAGUUUGAGACAUUGAUUUUAGAUAUUCAUAUUGUCAGUCUUAUGUUGUUACAUUGUUUUAGAACGUAUGUACAUACAGAAAUAGUUAUUACACCCCUUUUUGAGUCAUAACUGUAUAAUAUUUACAUGUUCCAUGUUUGUAAUGUGUAUAAGAAUAUAUACUUUUGUUUGUUAGUCUUAAUUUUAAAUUAUUUUUAAUAUGUUACUUGGACUGUUUUAUACAUUAUAUUUCGACUGGUUUAUUUAGAAUUGAUGUACAGUUAAGAGACAGACUGUGAUAUGCAUGUCAGUAACUUUUUGUUGCUGGCAUUUAUAAUGUUCGGAAGUGACUGAUGAAUUACAAGCAAUAUAAAACAUGUUCAAAAUCCUAAUAUAUGUUUUUUUCUGCCAAAAACUCACAGCAUAAAGCUCUGUACAAACUAUCACAAAAGUUAACUUCAAAAUUGUUACAAAGAAAACUGGUCUGUUUUGCUAAUAAAGGGUAUAUUAUGAUUAAUGUUAUCUUUUUCAUUCAAAAUUGGAAUUACAACUAAUUAUAACUUGUACAAUUCUUUGAAUGUGCUACAAAAUUGAAAUAUCACUGUGAAGGUCACAUUUGUUGUCAUUUUGUACAUAAAUGAAGACAUCUUUUGGUGUUUUGUACAAAGUAUGUAACAUAUUGUCAAUAUUUUUUUGCAUUUAUAACACAUGGAAUAAAUUUGGCCUACUAAAGUCCCAGUAAAUUCCAACAAUCUGGAAAUGUUGAUCAUCAGGCAUGUGUUCAUUUCCUAUGGAAGAAACCAUGGCCACAGUUCCAGACUGGUUUUACAAAUUUCUUUCUUGUGGAUUGGUUACCAUUAAAAACAUCUAUAAAGAUAUUUCAUUUUUAUAUCCAUGGAGGAUUCUACAAUAUUGAUAAGUGAAACUGAUCAGGCCAAAUAUAUUCAGUGUGUUAAUUCAUGUGCCAACAAAGGUCAUAGCUAACUGAUUGUCCGAGUGUGUGUUCUAUUUCAUGGUUUAUACUAUUUCAAUAAAAAUGAGGGUAAAUAUUUAUAAUGGAGCAGAAAACUGUCUGAAUUUGGUGAUAAAUAUAUCUAUAAAUAUGAGAACAUUAAUAUGUAUUGUAGAAUAAAGUAGUAAUACAUAAAAACAUAAGUAUAACUCCUCUCAUUUUAUUUCAUGUAUAUAUAGGUAAGAUUUGUUUCAGAUCUUAUCACUGUUUAUACUGGCUCAGAACUAUCUUAAUAUUGACAUAUCUGCAACUUGUAUUGAUUUCCUUUGUGUUUGAAGUUUGAAUGGAAACUUGGCCUCUAUCUUUGUAGUUUAAUCCAGCGCUUACAUCAAUAAAUUAAGGAAAUAAUGCUGUUUUAAUUUAAGAAAACAUUUUAUACAUGAAUUUUACUAUUUUUCGAAAUGUACUUUAAACAGUUUUUCCUACUGACUUGAUGUUAAUGAUGAUUUUAUUUUGAUACUCUAUGGCCUAUACCGUUUUUUGCAUGAAACGAAUGUAAUAAGUCAUUUACUAGAAAUUGUGUUUUUAUGGAGUUUGUUGAAACCCUGUAUAACUUUGCACAGACAUGCCCAUUGUAGGAUUUUACGAGUUCACACCGUUUUGUUGCUGUGUUGUAAGUUCAUGUAUAUAAUGACCAUGGCAUGUAGAACAGAGAGGUGAUUAUUAAUAUAGCAAGUAUUUCUAUUUUAUCCACAUUUUCUUAUAUAGUAUAAAUAGUGAAAUAAGCUUCUCAAAAUAAAAAUGAUAUUAG
Molecule: RNA transcript, 4243 nt
Organism: Mya arenaria
Lineage: Eukaryota; Metazoa; Mollusca; Bivalvia; Myida; Myidae
Gene name: dual specificity protein phosphatase CDC14A-like
Exons: 18
Source: RefSeq, a predicted model, not a curated record